This 31-nucleotide non-coding RNA is filed under the name Homo sapiens (human). The record is from RNAcentral. Lineage: Eukaryota; Metazoa; Chordata; Mammalia; Primates; Hominidae.
UCCGCUUGAAGCUGUUUGACAGGUCCCCUGA